CCUACGGGAGGCAGCAGUGAGGAAUAUUGGUCAAUGGACGAGAGUCUGAACCAGCCAAGUAGCGUGAAGGAUGACUGCCCUAUGGGUUGUAAACUUCUUUUAUAUGGGAAUAAAAUGUUCCACGUGUGGGAUUUUGUAUGUACCAUAUGAAUAAGGAUCGGCUAACUCCGUGCCAGCAGCCGCGGUAAUACGGAGGAUCCGAGCGUUAUCCGGUUUUAUUGGGUUUAAAGGGAGCGUAGGUGGAUUGUUAAGUCAGUUGUGAAAGUUUGCGGCUCAACCGUAAAAUUGCAGUUGAAACUGGCAGUCUUGAGUGCAGGAGAGGUGGGCGGAAUUCGUGGUGUAGCGGUGAAAUGCUUAGAUAUCACGAAGAACUCCGAUUGCGAAGGCAGUUCACUGGACUGCAACUGACACUGAGGCUCGAAAGUGUGGGUAUCAAACAGGAUUAGAUACCCGGGUAGUC
This 460-nucleotide ribosomal RNA is filed under the name uncultured bacterium. RNAcentral's name for it is "partial 16S ribosomal RNA". It matches the Rfam family "Bacterial small subunit ribosomal RNA", at positions 338 to 795 of the family's 1533-position model. The record is from RNAcentral.